UACGUAGGGGGCAAGCGUUAUCCGGAUUUACUGGGUGUAAAGGGAGCGUAGACGGAAUUGCAAGUCUGAUGUGAAAAUCCGGGGCCCAACCCCGGAACUGCAUUGGGAACUGUAUUUCUAGAGUGUCGGAGAGGCAAGUGGAAUUCCUGGUGUAGCGGUGAAAUGCGUAGAUAUCAGGAGGAACACCAGUGGCGAAGGCGGCUUGCUGGACGAUGACUGACGUUGAGGCUCGAAAGCGUGGGGAGCAAACAGG
Molecule: ribosomal RNA, 253 nt
Filed under: uncultured bacterium
Lineage: Bacteria
Description: partial 16S ribosomal RNA
Rfam family: Bacterial small subunit ribosomal RNA
Source: RNAcentral